UCCAAACAUGUAUUCCAAGCAUUAUACGAAUACAAUGUUAAAUGCCUUUUAAAAGAUUGUAAAACCAAAGUUUAUGAUCGAACAUUGUUAUUAUUGCGAGGUAUGCAAUAUUUUAUACGAUUUUUUGUAUCUUUUUGUAAUUUCAGUGAUUCCCAAACGUUUGUAUUUGCGGCAAUUUCUUUUGAAUUAAAACAUAAACAUAACAUAGAAUCUGCAAUAAAAAUCCACCUCAGGUAUCCCUUGAUAUCAAACUGCUAUUUAUAAAAUAGAGAAAUCUAAGAUUUUCAUCUUAAUAGUAUCCAUGAAUUUAGCAAUACCUUUAUCUUCUCCAAUACAAGAUCAUAACACUCAAAAAGUUUUAAUUAGACAAAAACGAGGUUGUUUUCCACAUCUACUUUCUAAUGACAAUAUUCGCUACCCUAUGCAAGGACAUAAAAAUAAUUAAACAGAAAUAAGUUAUUUGUUACAUGUUUAAAUAAAAUGUUUUUUUGUUUAGAA
Non-coding RNA from Onthophagus taurus, 498 nucleotides. NCBI's taxonomy places the organism in Eukaryota, Metazoa, Arthropoda, Insecta, Coleoptera, Scarabaeidae. The record is from RefSeq and is a predicted model, not a curated record.